AACGAACGCUGGCGGCAGGCUUAACACAUGCAAGUCGAACGCUCGUAGCAAUACGGGAGUGGCAGACGGGUGAGUAACACGUGGGAACAUACCCUUCGGUACGGAACAACUUGGGGAAACUCGAGCUAAUACCGUAUACGACCUUUUGGUGAAAGAUUGAUCGCCGGAGGAUUGGCCCGCGUCCGAUUAGCUAGUUGGUGGGGUAACGGCUCACCAAGGCGACGAUCGGUAGCUGGUCUGAGAGGAUGGCCAGCCACAUUGGGACUGAGACACGGCC
RNAcentral lists this ribosomal RNA (277 nucleotides) under uncultured bacterium. Its description in RNAcentral is "partial 16S ribosomal RNA". It matches the Rfam family "Bacterial small subunit ribosomal RNA", at positions 29 to 331 of the family's 1533-position model. The record is from RNAcentral.